UCGGAUAUGGUGUAACGGCUAACAUUGCCGCCUUUCAUUAGAUGUCAUCAUAGACAAUCGCGGCAGCUCGGGGUUCGAUUCCCCGUAUCCGAA
Non-coding RNA from Termitomyces sp. T159_Od127, 93 nucleotides. Lineage: Eukaryota; Fungi; Basidiomycota; Agaricomycetes; Agaricales; Lyophyllaceae. The record is from the annotation of a GenBank genome assembly.